This 210-nucleotide ribosomal RNA is filed under the name Clostridioides difficile. RNAcentral describes it as "partial 23S ribosomal RNA". It matches the Rfam family "Bacterial large subunit ribosomal RNA", at positions 1422 to 1628 of the family's 2925-position model. The record is from RNAcentral. Lineage: Bacteria; Bacillati; Bacillota; Clostridia; Peptostreptococcales; Peptostreptococcaceae.
ACAACAGGUUGAUAUUCCUGUACUACCGAUAACCGUUUGAGAGAAGGGAUGACACAGUAGGAUAAGCUAAGCACACUGUUGGUUAUGUGUGCCCAAGCAUUGAGGCAGUCAAAGUAGGCAAAUCCGCGUUGAUAAUGCUGGGAUGUGAUGGGGAGCGAAAUUUAGUAGCGAAGUAGCUGAUUUCACACUGUCAAGAAAAGUCUCUAUCGA